CUUUUCCAGUUUUGACAUCAUCUCCUGAGGUAGGAGACGUGGGCUUGACAAUAUCUUCUAUUUUACUAGACUCAUUAACAGCCUUCUCGUGCCCAUCACCACGUUCACCACAUUUAGGCAGCUUAACCAUCAACUUAUUGCUACAACCUUCAGCUUUCUCAAAAGUUACAGUUCUUUGUGAUGAGAUGCUCCUGCUCAGCCCAACUUCUGCGUGGACUGCAACAGUAUUUCUUUGCUGCCCAACGUUAGCAACAGCAACACCUGUUCCAGGUGAUGGGGCUGAUCUAGUAGAACUUGGAGAGGUGGUUGCAGACUUCACGCUGUUAUCUGAAAUACCGGACACGGACUUAAAAGGAUGCAGAGGAGAUACUGAUGUCUUGGUUGCAUCAAAGGAUACAACUGAGUGUCUACUGCCAUGGGAAACUUCAGACUGACGAGGUCUUCCAGGCUUGGCAUCCAUUUCUGCCUCAACACGUUUCUUCCAUGUAUCAACCAAGCUCCUUGCCUUUUUCCCAAUUUCUGAGUUCUUAUGUGAUCGCAAUCGAUUAACAGACUUCCCAAUGUUGCAAGUCUGAAGAGCAUUGAGAUUCACAGGCAGCUUGUCAAGAGCACGUAGUAAAAUCAAAAGAAACUCGUCCACUGAUCUAUCAUUGUCUUUGGGACUGCUCCCAUCCCCAAUUUUCCUUCUAUGAAUCUCCUGUAGCCACUCAUCAAAAACAGAUAAACCCCUCAGCUGGACGAAACGACUGAGACAGUCAAACUUGUCUGUUGCAGCUACAGCACUUGCAAGAAUGGACCGCCCAAUCAAAUCUGUCUUCUUCUCAUUCUUCUCAGGUAGCAUGAGCUGUACCAAUUUCUCAACCCCUUCAGAAUCCACUAGCCUGCCUCUCUCAGUAAUUUUUGCAAUCUCAGACUUCAAACUGCUUUCUUUUCUUACAAAACCAGAACCGCUAUCAUCAACCCGGCUCGGACGUUCCCUUUUCACAGAUUCAGAACCCUGAUCACCACGCUCUCUCUUCCUUCCCUUGCCCUGUGAAGAAGAGGAGCUACUGUUCUGCAUACCUUCUGUUCCUGUUUUCACUUGAGAUGUUGUUAACCUAGGAGAACAACCACACUGCUGUAAACUCUUACACAAUAAGUUAUCUACUUCUUGUUGACGUUCCUGCAUAAAAAAAAAAGACUUGUCAAAACCAGAGAAGAAACAGAAUUGGAUAAUAAUGAAUUAUGAUCUCACUCACUCACAUCGAUAUAAUCUUGAUCAGUGAGCCACCAAAUAGACUCGUUCAUAACAUCAUAAACCCUCCAGCAAACAAACGAAGAGAUUCCAGAUGGGAGUUCAACGCCUUUGGGAAGAAAGGUAACUUUACACGGAUGAAGCAAAGACGCAGCAGGUAUCUCAUCCUCGUGAAAGGAGUAGAAGACUUCGUUAGGCUGAGCCUCCAAAAGGACGCCCUUGCCAAGCUUCAACUCACCGGGUCGAUACAGCCAAUUCACACGAACCUUAAAGCUGCCUCCUUCUCGUUCCGGAACCAGCAAACGGAUCAAACCAACGAACGGUGGACAAUCCUGAGGCGGCUUGAACAGAGCACAGUCACCAACACUAAUCCUCCUCCCGUCCUGCGAAAAAAAAGAUCAAAACUUUAAAUCAAAUCGGAACCAAUCAAAGCCAGUUGACACGAAUCAAGUUACCUUAGAGAACGAAGAAGGUGAAGAAAGAGAGAGAGACGAAGAAGAAGAAGCGGUUGAGAUUAGACGCGAAGGAGGUCUAAACAUAAGCAGACGACGAUGACCUUUCUCCCUCCCAUGCAUAGCCGUCUCUCAUUUUUUCCCCUUUCGAAUCAAAACAAACACAAUUUCGUCUUCCUUUUCAGAAUUGGUUUUCGAUUACAAUUGAAAAAAAAAAACCCUAAUUGAGAUUAAAAGAAGAAGAUGCGAUUCCUUAGGGAUUGAUUUUUGAAAUCGAGUACCUGAUCCAAUCAACCCGCGAAGAUCCAACAGCGAGAAGAAGCAGAAACCCCCGUAGAGUGCGAGAGAGAUUGAACACGAAUCGAAAGCACGCCCUUGUUUGUUUUUCGAUCCAGCGAAGAAGAAGAAGAAGAAAAAAUAAAAUCGAGAGAAAGAGAAGAGAUGAAGGCAAAAGGGGGGUACUACGAGUCGGGGCAGUUCGGGCAUGUGUUUCGGGCAGCGUUUUUAUUUAUUUUGUUUUUUGGUUUUCUGGUGACAUUUGAGUGUGUUUUCUUUUCUCCCCCCCCACCCCCCCUUUUAAUAGCUUUUUUGAUUUUCUAAUUUUUUCCUAAAUUUAAAACAAAACGAACUUCGUGAUUUAAAAAAAAAAAUUAUUUGGGUUAAACACAAAAAAAAGUCUGAUCAUUUAUAAAAUCAAACGAAAUUUAGGAUCAUUUUCAAUCAAUAAACUCGAAAAGUAAAAUGUGAGUUUCACUCUCGUUUUGUUUCAUAAAAAAUGUCUUCUGAAAAAAAUUCACGUGUAUUAAAAAAUUAAUUAGAAACUCUAUUUUUUCCGUUGACACACUAAAUUCUUUUUUUAUUUAAUACACUAUUACAUUAAGAUUAAAAAUGAACAUUUAUUUAAAAUUUUGUAUUGAAAACACAAUAAAACACACUUUUUGAAACAAAAAAAAACUCUAAGACACACUUCUCAAGAAACAGAAGAAGUAUUAUCUAAUAUUUAUAGAAGAAAAUAUAACAUUCAUAUAAAAAUAGAAAAAAAAAUAUAUAAUAUAUUAGAGUAAAAUUUGCAUCUCCCAUAUCCUUAGAUUCAGAAAUAUCUGUGUAAAUUUUCUUACCAAAAAGGCAAGAAAUAGUGGAGUUUUUUUUCCAUGUAAAUCAGAUACAGUCGGAGGAAGCGUUUCUUCGGAACGUCUCAGCUCCUACUAACACUUGAUCUUAUAAAAUGGGUGUCGUAAAAAAAAUGGAGUAAAAUCUUUAUGUAUUUGAGAAAUUCUGUUUUAAGUGGAAAAAAACUAGAAGAGAGAUUAUCUAUAUAACAAGCAAAUUAAAAUUUUAAUCAUGAACAAGUUGUUUCUACAAGUUUACAAAACCGAUCAGUUUAUAUAAUAAUUUUUGUGAUUUGAUCCGGUUUAUUCUGGCUGAUUUCGGUUUGAAUGUGGUGACCUACCCUCCACAACAAGUUAUUUGCUUAUGAUUUUUAUGGGAGGAUCUUGUGGUUACAUUGUCCAGUGUCAAAUCACUGUCAUCAAAGUACAAGUGACCAAUCAUUGUCUCUCUUUGACACAGACAUUAACUUUUUUUACAAUGAGACUAAGAAGCUAUUUGAGUAGCUUCCAGUGACAUGUCUUCUUCACUCACCGAUAGCUCCAAAACAUGUUCUUCACAAGGCACAAAAUAUGUAGAACAUCUCAAAGAUUUUGAGACAGUAAGGUUAAGCUAACUGAAGGUUCCAUAUUUGCAUAGGUGACAAGACUAGUCAAAAUUGGCAAUUGGAGAUGGUGCAAAAGAUGUUAGGAAUGCUUCAAGAAGCAGAUAUAGGAGUUGGGAUCAGUGGAGUGGAAGCAAUGCAGGUUCUUUAAAGAAUCUUAGGACAACCAUUUGCACGGUUUUGUAUCAAGGUAUAAUGAAUCAUUCAAAUCAAAAAGAGCUGCGUAGUUUGCUGUAUAGUGGAGUUUCUUAACCCAAAGCCUUGCUUCGUUUGCUGUAACUGUUCCCUAUAUUGUACCAGGAAGUGGUACAAAAUCUCCCCUUUGGUUGUUACAUGGCUUCUGCAGCACAAUAACCAUUUUCUUCCUCUGCAAAACCUCUCUUGAAUCCCAAGCUUUCAACCACCAAGGGAAAACCGCAGGGGAGAGAGAGAUUUUUGGAGGAACUAUGUACACAUGUGGGUUGAGUUAGCAGAUGGUACAAUCAGUUACUACCUGUUAUUGCAAAUUUGCAAUAUAUGAGCCAUUUUGUUAUAACAGAGACAAAGUUCUGAAAUGUGGAUUCAAACAUAACUAACCACAAGUAAAAAAAAUCUACAAAAGAGUUGCUGCUGACUAUAUAAUACACAAACCAUGUCAGAUUUUACCAGUCUCAUACCAACAAUGACCAUCAUUUUUUCUUUUACAGCAGAGCUCCAAAAAAAAGAGAAAAAAAAAACAUAAACUAAACACUCGCUUGCAUCUCUAAAAGAGAUAAGGAACUAAGUUAGCGUCUGCUUUUAUCUUCAAGAGUACCUAAGAGCCAACAAAGAUUGAAUUAGAAACACAGUCAGCGAGAGAUAAUAUAAAGAAACAGAAGAUGGUAGAGCUGAAAGAAGAGAGUAAAAAUAUGCUUACAUGCUUAGUGCAACGGCCUACAAAGAGAUUCUGAGGUUUGUUAUUGCCAAGAGGGUUGCGUGUAUCCAUCCCAUCCACCACUGUCUGGUUCCUUCCUCUUGAGAGUACCACCAAACAUUUGAUACAUUCUUGCUUCAUCUUUCAAGGGUAAAGAACCAGAGGAAGAUAGCUGUCUUUGUACAAGUGCUGCUUCAUCUCUGCCAUCAGUUUCAUGCCCUCCUGGUCCAGAGUUCAAGUCAAGACCAGAUCUCAACCAUUUUGCAUUGUUGCUGUCCGAAACUCCACCAUUGCUGUUUGGGAGAUUAACGACAUAAGGCCUUGGGUAGUUAGAAGGGAUGGCAACUCCUGGACCCAAUAUUUGAGAGUUGACAGGAGGGAAGCAUAGCCUGCCACUUGAUGAAGAGUCCAUGUAUGGUGUUGAAGCACCUGAAAAAUUUGCUGAGGAAAGAGGAAAGCUGGAACCAAAAGGGAACCCAGGAUACUGAAAUGCUGAUGGUGGGAAUGAAACUGCUGGAGAAGACAGUAAAACAGGGCCUCUGUACAUAUCAGGUGUAUAUGAUGAAACUUCAGAUGUUGGACCAACCAUUCUCUGCAGUCCAUUGCCUCGUUCAGGCAAGACUUGAGGAAUACUCAUUGCUGAAUAAUUGUUAACAGCAGGAAACCAAGAUGAGAAGCCAGGCCUUAUUCCACUGAUCACUGGCUGUGCACUUCGGGAAUUUUGACUAAAACCCAGAGAUGACUCAGCGUUAACAUCAUCGACAGCAGGUCCAUCGUUUAAAUCAAAAUCCCUACUACCACCAGAAGAUAAGUUUGCCUGUUGAAAAGUUGAAUUCACUCGAUGAACACUGCUUAUUGUAUGAUUAUUCAUAUCAGCUGGAUCAUCAAGUCUGUUUAGAUCAAGAUCCAGCCCACCAGAGGAAUUUGUGGGAUUGGCAAAUCUUUGGGAAGGCAGAUCUUCAAGAACUCUUUCAUCCGGUACAUUUAGGUCGAAGUCCAAGAAUGUCUUUGUUUGCUUGCCAGCAGUUGUCGAAGCAUCACAGGAAGCCACAUUAUUUAUGUUUAGUGGCACCACCUCUUGGACUUUUCUUGGCUCAGGUGGCCGGAAGGCACUAGUGGCAGCAGAUCCUCUCCAGCCAACAGUUGCUUUAUUUCUCAAUAGAUCAUCAGGCGGAACAAAUGCACCUUUUGCAGCAGCAGCAACUGUAACGGAUGCAGGAGGUAGACUGGGCUGUAAAGGAGUAGGUGUUAAAGAUAAUGAUCCAGAUAAGUUAUUUGAAUUCCCAUCUCGUGUAUCAUCCCCACUGAAACCUUCAUUUAGAUCAAAUUCAACUCUGGCUUCUAGCUCUGACCCUGCUGAAGCUGAAGCUGAAACUGAAGGAACAUCUUUGGCAACAGAGGUACAUUCCUCGACUUCAUCCCCAUCAUCACAUGUUGUCGUGGCGCACCGUUUUCCGACUUCAGCACUCUUUAGAGACGCCUCUACAUGCUCAAUUUCACCGUUAGUUAAAGAUGAGUACAGAUGCGCUGUCACAGGCUUGCUCUUUUUAUCUGUCUGGUUCACAUGAUUAAUCCCCACGUCCAUCUUUUCUGCAGCUAUGCCCUUGGAGAGCUCGGACGAAACAGUUACAUCUUCAGCCGUUUCUUUAUCCAACUCAGAACUCAAGACUACCGGGGGUUUAUGCUCUUCCUUGUUAUCAGAGUGUGAAUUUGCAACAACCAAGGAUUCUACUUUGGGACAUAAUACGAUGGCUUUACAUUCAGCUGGCGCAGAAGUUUCCACUGAUGUACAAGCAGCCUUUCGAUCGUUAGCUGUUCCACCACAAUCAUUAUCAUCAGACAAUUUCUCUGGCAUCGAUCUAUCAACAUUUUCAGUACUCCUAUCCUUGGCAAACUCUGACAAAACCGAAACCACUUCACCCAUUUUAUUAACUAGCUCAGAACUCAAUAUCACCUUUGGUUUAUCUUCCACCUGAGCACCACCAACAGCACCCAAGUGUGAAUCUUCAGCAGUCAAAGAAUCCUCAUUUUGACUUUUGCCAACGGUUUUACAUUUACGUAAGGCAGAGUUUCCUGUCCUCAUCACUGUAUCUGCCACUCCAUCUGUCUCUGAUAUCUCUUCAGUCUUUACGUCAGCAACUACCCGACUAUCACCAUCAUCAGAAAUGUUUCCCCUAAUGCCUGAUGUGUGCCCAGCGGUUGGGGCAAUAUCAUCUGAAUUUUCAUUGCUUUCUAGGCACUGAUCCACCAAUCUUUGCAACUCUUCCAUUUCUGAAUCAGAGGGCUUAGAAUCAUUCACAUUCACUACAGAGGCCAACUGGUCGCCAAUACUACUGACAUGUUCAACAAUGGUGGGAUCCUUGGCAAGAGCUUCAGCUUGCUCGUUAGGCAAACCUGUUAUAUGGUUCUCUGAAAUAUCAUUCAUCAAGGAAUCUGAAACCAGGGAUACCGCGGGUGAUGCAACAGGGGAUUUGGAAAUUUCAUCAGCAGCAGCAGAAGCUAGAAGAUUCAUUCCAACGUCAUCCACACCAGCCUCACAUGCAUUUGCCUCAGAGUCCCUGACACAACUUUCAAUCAAGGCAUUCAUUGAGCUGUGUGAUCCACUAUCCCCUUUUCCAGGUUUGACAACAUCUCCUAAGGUAGGAGACGUGGGUUUGAUAAUAUCUUCUAUUUUACUAGACCCAUCAAGGCUAAAAUUAGGUCGAUUUGUAUCAUUGUUCUCUGAAGGAACAGGUGAUGGAGCCCUGCUACUACCAGCUGCAUGAUCCUCAAAGGAACCUCCACUAAAACUCUGUGCCGGACUGCGACCACGUUUUGGCAGCUUAACAAUUAACUUGUUACUGCAACCUUCAGCCAUAGGUAUGUCAGGAGUCUUUUCAGUUGCUGUUCUUUGUGAUGAGAAGCUCCUGCUCAGCCCAACUUCCCUAUGGACUGCACCAGUAUCUCUUUGUUGCCCAUCAUUAACGACAGCUACACCUGUUCCAAGUGAUGGUGCUGAUCUAGUAGAACUUGGAGAUGUGGUUGCAGACUUCAUGUUGUUAUCUGACGGUAUUAUGACAGACACGGACUUAGAAGGAUGUUGAUGAGAUGCUGAUGUCCUGGCUGCAUCAGCAGAUACACCUGAAUGUCUACCGCCAUGAGAAACUUCAGACUGACGAUAUCUUCCAGGCCAAGAUGCACCCUGAUUAGAUCCCGACUUGGCAUCCAUUUCUGCCUCAACACGUUUCUUCCAUGUAUCAACCAAGCUCCUUGCCUUUUUCCCGAUUUCCGAGUUCUUAUGUGAUCGCAAAUGGUUAACAGACUUUCCAAUGUUGCAAGUCUGAAGAGCAUUGAGAUUCACAGGCAGCUUAUCAAGAGCACGCAGCAAGAUCAAAAGAAAAUCGUCCACUGAUCUACCAUUGUCUUUGGGACUGCUCCCAUCCCCAAUUUUCCCUUUAUGAAUUUCCUGUAGCCACUCAUCAAAAACAGGUAAUCCCCUCAGCUGGACAAAACGACUGAGGCAAUCAAACUUGUCUGUUGCUGCUACAACACUUGCAAGAAUGGAUCGCCCAAUCAAAUCUGUUUUCUUCUCGUUCUUCUCGGGCAGCAUGAGCUGUACCAAUUUCUCAACCCCUUCAGAAUCCACUAGCCUCCCUCUCUCAGUAAUUUUUGCAAUCUCAGAUUUCAAACUGCUUUCUGUUCUUACAAAACCAGAACCACCAUCAUCAAUCCGACUUGGGCGUUCUCUUUUCACAGAUUCAGAACCCUGAUCACCACGCUCUCUCUUCCUUCCUUUACCCUGUGAAGAAGAAGAGCUGCUGUUCUGCAUACCUUCUGUUCCCGUUUUCGCUUGAGAUGUUGUCGGACUAUUCGUUGACUUAGGAGAACGACCACCCUGCUGUAAUGUCAUCUUGGAACGAGUCUUACGCAAUAAGUUAUCUACUUCUUGUUGACGUUCCUGCAUAAAGAAAAACAGUUGUCAAAACCAGAGAAGAAACAGAAUUGGAUAAUAAUGAUUAUGAUCUCACUCACUCACAUCGAUAUAAUCUUGAUCAGUGAGCCACCAAAUAGACUCGUUCAUAACAUCAUAAACCCUCCAGCAAACAAACGAAGAGAUUCCAGAUGGGAGUUCAACGCCUUUGGGAAGAAAGGUAACUUUACACGGAUGAAGCAAAGACGCAGCAGGUAUCUCAUCCUCGUGAAAGGAAUAAAAUAUCUCGUUAGGCUGAGCCUCCAAAAGGACGCCCUUGCCAAGCUUCAACUCACCGGGUCGGUAGAGCCAAUUCACACGCAGCUUAAAGUUGCCUUCUUUUUCAGGAAGAAGCAAACGGAUCAAACCAAUGAACGGUGGACAAUCCUGAGGCGGCUUAAACAGAGCACAGUCACCAACACUAAUCCUCCUCCCGUCCUGCAAAAAAAGAUCAAAACUUUUAAAUCCAAUUGAACCAAUCUCGACUUUAAAACCCAAUUGAAUGAAUAUUUGACAAAUCAAGCACUAAUCGUUACCUUAGAGAAGGAAGAAGGUGAAGAGAGAGAUACAGACGAAGAACCAGAAGCCUCCAAGCUUGAAAUUAGACGCGAAGGAGGUCUAAACAUAAGCCGACGAUGACCUUUCUUCCUAUCCUCAGAAAGCCCCCUCCCAUGCAUAGACGACGUCUCUCAUUUUUUUUUUUACCCCUUUUCAAAAUACACAAUUCGAUUCGAUUGAAAACCCUAAUUAAGCGAAGAAGAAGAAGAAGGAGAUACGAUUACGAUUCCAGUACCUGAUCCGCGAAUAUCUAACCACGAGAAGAACGAUUAAUCCGUAGAGAGCCGGAGACCGAAGAACGCGAAUCGAAAGCCGCCUUUGAUUUUUUUUUUCUUUUCGAUCCAGCGAGCGAGAGAAAGAGAGAGAGAGAGAGUUUUUUUUUUUUUUAUCAACAAGAAGAAAAAAAAUAGAAUCGAGAGAGAAAGGGGAUUACUACUUUGGAAGAAGUCGGGCAGUUCGGGCAUGAGUUUCGGGCAGCGUUUUGUUUAUUUUUUUACUUUUUUCAGGUGACAUUUGAGAGAUUUUGGAUGGUUUUUUCACCCUUUUUAAUAGCUCUUUUGACUUUCUUUUCUUUUCUUAAAUUAAAAACAUAACAAAAUCCGUGAUUUGUUAAAAUUUUAUUUAGAUUUAAACAAAAAAAAAAAUCUAAAGUUUUAUGAGAACAAAGAUAAGAUCAUUCCAAUCCUCUUUUUUUUAGAAAUAGAAAAUUUAUAAAAUAAAUCUGAGUUUCUUUCAAAUAUUUUUUAAAUAGAUAAAUAUUACCCAUUUUCUUUUGGCGAACUCCAAAAACAGCGGCUGCUACAGAAAAUUUGAACUAUCACCACGGCAAAACACAUCAUAGCAUAGCACUCAUGAAACAACGCCAACCUGCUUUUCUUGACGUUGCGGCUGAUUGCGAGGGGGUGAAAGGAACGCUGAUUUUUUUCAGCGUCAACUGCUUUCCUUAUUUUGUAUUUCGAGCGGUUUACGAGUAACCAUUUUAAUUCUUCGUGCGGUCAAAUUUGCUUCCGUUGUACCUGUAAUUUUUUGUCGCAACGGUGGUUUUGAUGUUCACCAAAAGAACGAGGGUAUUAUAUUAUCCACCAUUUAUAGAAAAAAUAAUAAUAUUUUAUAUAAACAGAGAGAAAUAUAACAUUUCUAUAUUUCAGUGGAACAUAUUAAAAAAAAAUGUGAGUUUCACUCCAAUGUUUUGUUUGAAAUAGAUAAAUUUUAUACUAUCCAACAUUUAUAGAAGAAAAUAUAGUAUUUCUCUGUAAAUCAAGAGAAAUGUAACAUUCUUAUUAUGCAUAUGAAUAUUCCUAUGUUUUAGCGGACAAAAAUAGAAGAGAAUUGGUUUUUUUGUUAGUAAAUAUGUAUAUUUUUAUAGCAAUUUAUUUUUUUUAAAUAAUACUAAUUAAUAAAGUGUAUGUUAAAGUUUGCAAAAACCGAUCAAUUUAUAUAAUAAUACAAUUGUGAGUUGUUCCGGUUAUUCUGGCCGAUUCCGGUUCGAAUGCCCUGACCUACCCCCGACAAUAAAUAAUUUUAUUAUGUUAGUAAUGUGAAUGCUUGUCGUUACAUUGUCCAGUGUCAAAUCACUAUCAACAAAGUACAAGUGACCAAUCAUUUGUCUCUCUUGACACAAACAUUUAACUUUUCACAAUGAGAUCUUAAUACACUACAGAAGCCAUUUGAGCGAGUCGAUUGUCUUCUUCACCCACCGAUUGCUCCUAGACAUGUUCUUCACGGAGCACAGAAUAUGCAAGUAGCAAUCAAGGUUUCCUAAUUUUGAACCGAAGAGACGAGAAGAAGAAAAGAGAUCAGAAAAUGAAGCAUAUAUAGUCGCCUAAACACAUGCCUUCAUCGAAAUUUAAUGUUUUGUAUCUUUAAUGAAACUCAUCGAACUCAUGACUAAAUUGGCUCUUGUGCCACAUCGUUGCUUACAAGCGUUGUAACAUCAUGCAAGAGUAGCCAUUAUGCACUGCUUUUGGGAGUUACGCAACUGCCGAAUACCUCAACCAGACUUGAGCUGACAGCAUCAUGAUGAACCAGAGGCACAAUCAUCAGAACACAACACACGUAUUCUUCAAUUCUUAAGCCACAAGUGUAUUUAUUGCCAUUGAGAGUGUUCUGCAUGUUUUGUUCUAUGCCUUAAACCAAAAUGUAAUGAGGUAUACGAGUAUUCGAUUAGCUUGCUAAUCAUUGUGAUUUUGAGUUACAUAAUCAUAUGAUCUGGAAGUUGUAAACUACUUUUUCUCCAUUUUAAGAGUCUUUGAACUAAUUCUUGACGUUUCUUGUUUUCAACGAAUUUAUAUUUGGGGUUGAUAAACUAGUAUUAAUGGGCCGGAUAGCCGGAUCUUACGAAAUUUGAAUGGCCCAGAUAGACCAGUCUUACCAAACAUGGCCUGCUCCGGCUCAAAACAAAAGUACCUUUCUCUGUUUUUCUUGUUUUCUAUAUCAAAAGCACCUUUCGGUUAGACAGGUUAAAGAUAUGUACUUUUAUUACUCAGACCGACGUUUCCUUAGCUUAAAAAGAAAAUAGUUAGCUUUUUUGUAACCAUAGAAGGUCAAAAGAUAUAGCUAUACAUCACGUCAUAAAUUACAUGAUUACAAUACAACUUUUUUUAUUUGGUAUGGGGAAGAGAACAGAGAAAGACUGGAGCAGGCUGGCUCGUACCUCUAAACCAACCAUGAGCCAGCGUCUGUCGACAUCCUAAUUAGAAUUAUCAAAACUAUAGUACUAUACAUUAAGAACUGUACAUUUGUGUAAAACACUUAGCAGCAUAUUUACCGGAUUAAUUAUCACAAACGACUAUAGAAAACCAUAUUUACAACAAACAUCUACCAGUAAAACUAAAAAAAACAUCAACAAUGGGACCCAUGUUUACAACAAACAUACCAGUAAGACUAAAAAAAACAUCAACAAUGGUAUAGUGUUGAUGGUUCUAUAAUCUGUCAAAACUAGGAUUAAAUAUUCAAAAUUGAUAAAACUUCUAAAUCCAAAUAAACUAAUUCGACAAACCGUAUAAUCUUAUAUGAUAAAUCUGUGUAAAUUUUUCAUACUAUAAAAGUAUAAAACAUGGACUCUCAAUUUUUUGUUUAGUAUAAUAUUUUAGUUAGUUUACUUAUAUAUAUAUAUAUAAAAAUUAACAUAUAAAAUGAUAACGUUUACAUUUUUCAGUAUCGCUUCUUUUUUUCACAAACAUUUUACAGUAUUGCUAGUUUAAAAUUUGACUGCGAUGCUGAAAUGAAAAUGUUUAUUAGUAUCAGUUACCACUUCGUUUUAGGCAUUAUUUGGAUGAUAUUGUAAAUCUAAAAAUAUUAUGGGGUAAAAAGCAGAGGCACAUGAGAGUUAGGGGUAUUGUGUAGUUUCCAAAAAGCAAGCUUCUCUCGUCCUCCCAUGUGCUUCCUCUCCCACUGUCCCCCCUUUUUCCUUUUUCGAUUAAAUCCAAAUUAGUUAAUUUCUAUUUCAUCCUUUUCUUUUGUCGGCUUUUAAUUUCUUAUCACACUUGUUGUUUUAUAUUCUUUUUCUUUUGUCAAAAGUUUUUUUUUUCUAUUCUCUAUCACGCUUUCUACACCUAUUUUGACUGGGUUCACAUUCACAAUAAUAAUAAUAAUAAUAAUAAUAAUAAUAAUAGAAACUCAGAAUGUUUGCAUCAGUUUCAACAGUGACAACUUGUGAGUGUCCAAUCUCAAUGAUUAUGUGGUCAUGCUCCAUAAUAUUAUUAUGAAAAGUCCCUCUCAUUGGCUUAAAUGCUUUCUUUGUUUUAAGUACUGCUAAAUUACUUAAUUCACUAAUUAGUGAUUUAAUUACUAUACUUGUAUAAUGUUUCAAGCCAGAUUCUCAAUCACGUGCAAAAUUCCUUACAAAACAAUAUAGCUGCUUAGCCAUCAACUAAUUACGGAGUUUACAUAUCCAUAUACCUGUCGGAUAUUCAAAUUAGUUAGUACAUUCUUGACCAAAUUUUAAAAAAAUUAAUUAGUACAUUUAUAUGACUGACGUAAAUGAAUGCAUAUCUCAUUUCAAGAUUUCAGUGUUGUGUUUGCCUUAAAGGCUCGCGUGGAUAAAAGAAAAUUUCAUGAGAUUUUGAAUGUACAAACAUGUAACUGUUACGAUACAACACUUAUUAAUUUCAUUGUCCAUGCAUACGUAAAACGUGACUAGUUUUAUGUUUACUGUUUAUUUGCGUGGUUUUCGUUCAUACAUUGCAAAUUGUCGGCAAGAUAUAUCAAGUUGGGUCACUACAGACUACAGUUGUGAUAGUUAUUACCAUAAAUUAAUUUGAAAACGAUGCAUCAAUUGUUUUGACAAAACGUUGAGUUAAUGCUUAAUUAGUAGAACAAACAACAAUAGUUGUAGUGAAGAAAAUAUAAAUAACACGCAUCUCUUAUGAAUAGUAGUAACAUAUUGAUCUUAAUAAAGUUGUACUUGUUGAGAUAUUUACUUAACUAAUUAACCGGUUUAUCUCAGUUGACUAAUUAACCUUAACACACUUCUUAUUGUUGUUUGAGUUUGUUAAAGACACACAAGAUUUGGUUACCCAGUUCCCUUUUGGUACAUCUGGAGAGAGGACGACACUCUCAACGAUUCACUAGCAUCAAGUGUAUACAAUAGCUUUCUACACAACCACCUCAGUGUUUCUCUAUCAAUAUCACCUUUGGUUUAUCUUCCACCUGAGCACCACCAACAGCACCCAAGUGUGAAUCUUCAGCAGUCAAAGAAUCCUCAUUUUGACUUUUGCCAACGGUUUUACAUUUACGUAAGGCAGAGUUUCCUGUCCUCAUCACUGUAUCUGCCACUCCAUCUGUCUCUGAUAUCUCUUCAGUCUUUACGUCAGCAACUACCCGACUAUCACCAUCAUCAGAAAUGUUUCCCCUAAUGCCUGAUGUGUGCCCAGCGGUUGGGGCAAUAUCAUCUGAAUUUUCAUUGCUUUCUAGGCACUGAUCCACCAAUCUUUGCAACUCUUCCAUUUCUGAAUCAGAGGGCUUAGAAUCAUUCACAUUCACUACAGAGGCCAACUGGUCGCCAAUACUACUGACAUGUUCAACAAUGGUGGGAUCCUUGGCAAGAGCUUCAGCUUGCUCGUUAGGCAAACCUGUUAUAUGGUUCUCUGAAAUAUCAUUCAUCAAGGAAUCUGAAACCAGGGAUACCGCGGGUGAUGCAACAGGGGAUUUGGAAAUUUCAUCAGCAGCAGCAGAAGCUAGAAGAUUCAUUCCAACGUCAUCCACACCAGCCUCACAUGCAUUUGCCUCAGAGUCCCUGACACAACUUUCAAUCAAGGCAUUCAUUGAGCUGUGUGAUCCACUAUCCCCUUUUCCAGGUUUGACAACAUCUCCUAAGGUAGGAGACGUGGGUUUGAUAAUAUCUUCUAUUUUACUAGACCCAUCAACGCUAAAAUUAGGUCGAUUUGUAUCAUUGUUCUCUGAAGGAACAGGUGAUGGAGCCCUGCUACUACCAGCUGCAUGAUCCUCAAAGGAACCUCCACUAAAACUCUGUGCCGGACUGCGACCACGUUUUGGCAGCUUAACAAUUAACUUGUUACUGCAACCUUCAGCCAUAGGUAUGUCAGGAGUCUUUUCAGUUGCUGUUCUUUGUGAUGAGAAGCUCCUGCUCAGCCCAACUUCCCUAUGGACUGCACCAGUAUCUCUUUGUUGCCCAUCAUUAACGACAGCUACACCUGUUCCAAGUGAUGGUGCU
This 14470-nucleotide long non-coding RNA is filed under the name Brassica napus (rape). RNAcentral describes it as "long non-coding RNA (BNAP_LNC016784)". The record is from RNAcentral. Lineage: Eukaryota; Viridiplantae; Streptophyta; Magnoliopsida; Brassicales; Brassicaceae.